RNAcentral lists this ribosomal RNA (497 nucleotides) under uncultured bacterium. RNAcentral describes it as "partial 16S ribosomal RNA". It matches the Rfam family "Bacterial small subunit ribosomal RNA", at positions 28 to 507 of the family's 1533-position model. The record is from RNAcentral.
GAUGAACGCUGGCGGCGUGCCUAAUACAUGCAAGUCGAGCGAACGGACGAGAAGCUUGCUUCUCUGAUGUUAGCGGCGGACGGGUGAGUAACACGUGGAUAACCUACCUAUAAGACUGGGAUAACUUCGGGAAACCGGAGCUAAUACCGGAUGAUAUUUUGAACCGCAUGGUUCAAAAGUGAAAGACGGUCUUGCUGUCACUUAUAGAUGGAUCCGCGCUGCAUUAGCUAGUUGGUAAGGUAACGGCUUACCAAGGCAACGAUGCAUAGCCGACCUGAGAGGGUGAUCGGCCACACUGGAACUGGGACACGGUCCAGACUCCUACGGGAGGCAGCAGUAGGGAAUCUUCAGCAAUGGGCGAAAGCCUGACGGAGCAACGCCGCGUGAGUGAUGAAGGUCUUCGGAUCGUAAAACUCUGUUAUUAGGGAAGAACAUAUGUGUAAGUAACUGUGCACAUCUUGACGGUACCUAAUCAGAAAGCCACGGCUAACUACGUG